RNAcentral lists this long non-coding RNA (10638 nucleotides) under Daucus carota (carrot). RNAcentral's name for it is "long non-coding RNA (DCAR_LNC001277)". Lineage: Eukaryota; Viridiplantae; Streptophyta; Magnoliopsida; Apiales; Apiaceae. The record is from RNAcentral.
CAAGUGAUUAAGAGGAAUGAAAGCUUUGAAGAUAUAUUUGUGCAGAUGUUUUUAGCUGGCUUUGGAGUGCUUAAUUGCUGGCCCAUCUAUGAAGCCAUGUUAUUGAGAAGGGAUAAAGGAAGGAUGCCAUUAAAGAUAACUUUAUUAUCAACCUUCCUAGCAUGGCUUGUUUAUCUGAUAUCCUCUUCAGCCUUUUGAAAACUAGUAUUGUUUUGUAUCUUGAUUCUAGGACAAUGCUCUCCGGGUGGAGAUAGUAUCGUUUUGUGCAAUUCUUGUAUUGUAUCUUCAAGAUCAUACUACAAUACUUGAGUAUCGUCUCUUUUAUAUAUACAUUUUAAAUAAAUUAGGGUCAUUAUAUUUUUUUUCUUAUGUUCUGUUGGAUGUUAUGGAUAAAUAGAUGUUCAUAUUUGAUUUGAUUGAAUUUUGAAACGUACCAUAGGAGCGUUUCAAUUCAACCUUUCUCAAAGCAAUCUAUUUGUAUUCAUAUAAGCAGCGAGCAUGCUAUUAACUAUGUCAGCUGCGUUCAGUUUCAGACUCCAAUUACUAUCAAGUCACCGGGCAGAAAGACGUGGCCAUUCCUUUUAGCAGUGUUUACACCAUUUUAGAGUUUUGGUGUUGGGUUGGAGAUGAUAUCAUGCAUCUCUGCCUCUUUUAACACCUCUUCGACUGAUUUCCUUCUCAGACCCCCUCAUUUGCUUCUCUGGACUCUUUAAUUCAGUCUUUAAGAUUGCAAGGCAGUCUUCUACAGAGUCAGAAGUGCAAACCUUCAUAGAGAAGCUACAAACAAAGAACUAAUUCCAGUAACAGGUGUUCAAUAACUUGUGAAUUAAAUCUUAGAGAGUAAAGAAUGAACUCUCAAAAUGCAUCACAAGAAGUAGAAGCACUUUAAAAAAGCUGAGAAUGCUAACUUGUCUCUCACAACUUCUGAUUCUUUUCCAAACACUUUAUUAACUUAUUUAUUUCUAACGUCUACUCCACUUCUUUAAUUUAAUCAAGAAGUGACUUCUUUUAAGUUAACCCAAACGGCCCAAUAAUCUCUUAGAACGUCUCUCCAAGAAAUCUUGGUUAAAAUUCACUAAUACAUACCAUAAAUAAAAAUAGAGGCUAUGUACAAAACAAUUCAACUCCAAUGAGACCUUCCCCUUAUAUAUAAUUAUAGCCAACCUUUAUUGAUGUAGCAAGAUUUUACAUCAUUUAUUACUAUAUUAAAACAUUAUAUUAUAUUUACACAACUUGAAAUAAUAAUUAUACACUUUUUUAAAAUAUAGCCGAUCAAAAUAGUUAGUACCAUUAAAACACAAUAUUUUACAGGUUCCACAAAUUUUAUAUAAUAUCUUGCGAUCAAAUUUAACUAAUCAGUUACAGACUUAUAGUCAAUACUAUUAUACUAUUGUAGAUGCUAUUUAAUUAAUUAGUUAUAAUCAAUAGUAUUCUAGAUGCUAAAGUCCUGUUUACCAAGUAUUUUUUAACCAACACAAUUGCAGAUCCUCUUAUAAUUACAGUCUAUGAUUUGUUGGAAUUAGGAAUCGACGAUCACUUCAAGAUUUGGAAAUGUUAUACCCGCUCCAAUCUCCAAACGGAUACAAGCCGUCCCGAAUGAGGACUAGAGAUCUCUGCGGAGAUUCGAGAAAUUUGUCUUUUCUAAAAAAAAUUAUAUUAUAAUAUAUGAUCUUUGAUUAAAAUUAUUUUAGUAAGUUGUCAUAAUAUACAAUGUUUUUAGUUAUAUUUUGAGUACCAAUUCGAAUAAUACUCAUUUAUAAUAAAAAUAAAAGAGUAGAUUUAAUAUAAUUUGUUUGUAUUAUAAUAUGAAAUGAUUUAAUCAAUGUGAUGAAAGAGAUUAUUUAAAUUUUCAUAUAUAUAUAUAUAUAUAUAUAUAUAUAUAUAUAUUUAUCAUUAAUAUUUUGUAUAAUAUAAUAUACAUAAAUAUAUUCAUAUUAUAUAUGAAAAUCGGGAAAUUUCAAGACGGUUCGCGACCAGAAAAUAUUAAUUUUUGAAUCCGUCCCGAUCUCCGAAUUCUGGUAUAUAAUUUUUUUCCAAUCUCUAUCCCGUACUCGAGAGAAUCUCUUAUUUAUGAUUUCGUGCCGAACGGCCCGAACCUGAUAAACGAAAAAAUAGGUGGUCUUUUCUGGAAUCGAGCGGGACAGACUGGAUCGGGUCGGUCAGAUGGGACAGGGACACGUCCUCAGUUGACAUCAGGCUUAAAACUAGGGGUGUAAACAAACCAAACUGUUGGUGAGCUACUCGAGCUCGGCUCGUAAAAUAUUCGGAUUUGAUUCGGUAGUAAUCAAGCCGAGCUCGAGAUCGAGCUAUUUGGAUGUUUUACCGAGCUGAGCUCGAGCUUCAAAUUACUCGGCUCCUAAGGUUCGCGAGCCUUAUCGAGCCUCUACUAUUAUUUAAUCUUUUUUAUUAUAAAUAUAUUUUUACAAAUAUAUUUAAUAUUUUAUUUAUAAAUCAUAUAUUUAAUCGAAUCGAACUCGAGCCAAACCGAUCAUAUUUCGAGACGCUAUCAUUUUUUUGGUAGCUGAUUCCAUUCUGGCAUUUAUGUGGACAACACGGCAAGCAUUUCGCAUCUCGCCCAUCCGUCGCCAGGUAUUUCCCGAGAACCUGACAGCGGAUGAGAGUGAAUAUCCAGCUCUGGACGUGUUUGUAUGCACUGCUGAUCCAUUCAGGGAGCCACCAAUAGGUGUGGUGAACACCGUCUUGUCCCUGAUGGCUUACGAUUAUCCGAAGGAGAAAUUGUCAGUUUAUGUAUCGGAUGAUGGAGGAUCACAGCUCACACUGUUUGCUCUGAGGGAAGCUGCUGAGUUUGCUAAACAUUGGCUUCCGUACUGCAAGAAAGAGAACAUACUUGAUAGGUCGCCCGAAGCAUAUUUUACAUCACAGACUAAUUUUGGUUUCCCAGAGACCGGUCCUGCUGCUACAAAACAUGAUCAAAUUAAGGUACUUCUCAGCUACCCAUCUCAACAAUUUUUAACUUUUUUUGAAAUUUAUUUAUGAUGACUCACGGAUUGUUGAAGGUUAUGUACGAAAGGAUGAAAUUGAGGAUAAAUGAAGUUGUCGAAAGAGGGAGCAUCCAUGGAUAUGUGACAGAUGAAGAAGUGCGCGGAACUUUUGCUGUAUGGCAUAAUACACCUGGUUUCACUCCCAAAAAUCAUCCUACUAUUAUUCAGGUUCAUUCUUAGUCUGUUUUCUAAUUAAUAAUUUGAAUUUUAAAUUUGUACAGAAUCAUCUAAUAACUGAGCUAGAAUUUUUCAAUUAAAGACAGGAAAAAAGAAUAAUCGGAUUUACUAGGCUACAACGAAUCUAGCUUUUCUGAGUAGUUUCCUGAAGGCUAUCAAAUUAUUGAACUUGAAUCUCUUAUCUUUCAUAGUUAUUGUUAUUAGUACUUACUCCGUGCUGAAUAAACCUGUAGCAAAGUUUGAUCCCAACCCCGAUCCGUAGUAAAUCAGAAUAUAUUGCUUCAAUAUGGAAAACAGGAUGAGUAAUAGAUACUAGCAUAUUUAUAACUAUAAAAAUUAGUACCAAUUAUAGAACUAAUGAUGAGGAUCUUGCAGAUAAUCAUGGAGAGCGCCACUGAAAAGGAUGAGUCCGGUAACAGAAUGCCCAAUCUUGUGUAUGUGUCCAGAGAAAAGAAGAAGACUACACCCCACAACUACAAGGCUGGUGCGCUCAACGUUCUGGUAAUAAUGUUUAUAAUUGUGUUGAUCAUACACAUAUAUAGGUAAACAGAAAGUUAAUUUUCAUUUCUUGUUUAUUUCACAUAUUUAACAUAUUAAUGCAUAAUAAAGCUUCGAGUAUCAGCAACCAUGACAAAUGCACCGCUGGUGUUGACGCAAGACUGUGACAUGUUUUCAAAUGAUCCUAAGACACCACUCCGUGCACUCUGCUACUUUAUGGACCCUGGAAUGGACCCGAACUUGGCGUUGGUCCAGUUCCCUCAAAUUUUCCAUGGGAUUAACAAGGAUGAUAUAUAUAAUGCUGAACUUAAAGAAAUGCUUGUCAAUAAUAAUUUGGGAAUGGAUGGUUUAUUAGGACCACCUUAUAUAGGUUCUGGGGGGUUUUUUCGUCGACAAGCUUUGUUUGGAACUCCAGUAUCACAUAUACCUCCCCAGCCUUCAGAAAUUAGUCCUCAUCAUGUUGUUAACAAGUCAAUGCAGUCCGCAGAGAUUUUGGCUCUGGCACACCAUGUUGGAGGCUGUAACUUUGAGGUUCAAACCGAGUGGGGAUCAGAGGUCAGACACUUUGGUACAUUUAUUAAUAAAAUUCACAUAUUACUUCGAACCAAAAUAUUAAAUAUUUAUUCUCUAAUUGUCGCAGAUGGGAUUUAGGUAUGGCUCUUUAGUGGAGGAUUUUAACACAGGCUACAGAAUGCAAUGCCAAGGAUGGAGAUCUGUUCUCUGCAAUCCAAUAAGACCAGCAUUCUUAGGAAGUUCACCAAUAACACUCCAUGACAUGCUCAAUCAAUGCAAAAGGUGGUCCAUGGGUCUUCUUGAUAUCACUUUUUCCAGAUAUAACCCUCUUUUCUUUGGUGUGCGGUUCAUGAACCCUCUCCAAGCCUUCUGCUUUGGACACUAUGCGAUUUGGCCCAUUUGGUCGAUUCCUCUUAUUAUCUAUUCCUUCUUGCCUCAGCUCGCUCUAAUCAAUUCUUCACAUGCUAUUUUCCCAAAGGUAAGCUAAAAACUGCACUACUACAGGGUCGAUCAAGUUCAAAUUUUGUAACGUGAAGAGUUGGUACACAGUAUAAAUAGGUAUUCAUAGUAGUUUAAUUAUUUUUGCUCUAAUUAUGAUGUCAGGUGACAGAUCCUUGGCUGUUUUUCUUGUAUGUGUUUCUUUUCCUUGGUUCAUAUGUGCAACAUCUUCUCGAAUAUGUUACAUUUGGAUCUCCAGCCAAAAGGUGGUGGAACAGUCAGAGAGUGUGGAUGAUGAGAGCACUUUCAAGCUUUCCAUUUGCAUUGAUUGAAUAUAUACUAGAAUGCUGGGGAGUAUCAUCGUUUGGGUUCAAUGUGACUAGCAAGGUACUUGAUAGUGAACAAAGCAAACGUAACGCAGAAUGUAUGUUUGAAUUCGGAGUGCCUUCUCCACUUUUUGUUCCAAUAAAUAUGGCGGCAAUGAUCAACUUGUGGGCGUUUUUACAUGGGAUAAAACAAGUGAUUAAGAGGAAUGAAAGCUUUGAAGAUAUAUUUGUGCAGAUGUUUUUAGCUGGCUUUGGAGUGCUUAAUUGCUGGCCCAUCUAUGAAGCCAUGUUAUUGAGAAGGGAUAAAGGAAGGAUGCCAUUAAAGAUAACUUUAUUAUCAACCUUCCUAGCAUGGCUUGUUUAUCUGAUAUCCUCUUCAGCCUUUUGAAAACUAGUAUUGUUUUGUAUCUUGAUUCUAGGACAAUGCUCUCCGGGUGGAGAUAGUAUCGUUUUGUGCAAUUCUUGUAUUGUAUCUUCAAGAUCAUACUACAAUACUUGAGUAUCGUCUCUUUUAUAUAUACAUUUUAAAUAAAUUAGGGUCAUUAUAUUUUUUUUCUUAUGUUCUGUUGGAUGUUAUGGAUAAAUAGAUGUUCAUAUUUGAUUUGAUUGAAUUUUGAAACGUACCAUAGGAGCGUUUCAAUUCAACCUUUCUCAAAGCAAUCUAUUUGUAUUCAUAUAAGCAGCGAGCAUGCUAUUAACUAUGUCAGCUGCGUUCAGUUUCAGACUCCAAUUACUAUCAAGUCACCGGGCAGAAAGACGUGGCCAUUCCUUUUAGCAGUGUUUACACCAUUUUAGAGUUUUGGUGUUGGGUUGGAGAUGAUAUCAUGCAUCUCUGCCUCUUUUAACACCUCUUCGACUGAUUUCCUUCUCAGACCCCCUCAUUUGCUUCUCUGGACUCUUUAAUUCAGUCUUUAAGAUUGCAAGGCAGUCUUCUACAGAGUCAGAAGUGCAAACCUUCAUAGAGAAGCUACAAACAAAGAACUAAUUCCAGUAACAGGUGUUCAAUAACUUGUGAAUUAAAUCUUAGAGAGUAAAGAAUGAACUCUCAAAAUGCAUCACAAGAAGUAGAAGCACUUUAAAAAAGCUGAGAAUGCUAACUUGUCUCUCACAACUUCUGAUUCUUUUCCAAACACUUUAUUAACUUAUUUAUUUCUAACGUCUACUCCACUUCUUUAAUUUAAUCAAGAAGUGACUUCUUUUAAGUUAACCCAAACGGCCCAAUAAUCUCUUAGAACGUCUCUCCAAGAAAUCUUGGUUAAAAUUCACUAAUACAUACCAUAAAUAAAAAUAGAGGCUAUGUACAAAACAAUUCAACUCCAAUGAGACCUUCCCCUUAUAUAUAAUUAUAGCCAACCUUUAUUGAUGUAGCAAGAUUUUACAUCAUUUAUUACUAUAUUAAAACAUUAUAUUAUAUUUACACAACUUGAAAUAAUAAUUAUACACUUUUUUAAAAUAUAGCCGAUCAAAAUAGUUAGUACCAUUAAAACACAAUAUUUUACAGGUUCCACAAAUUUUAUAUAAUAUCUUGCGAUCAAAUUUAACUAAUCAGUUACAGACUUAUAGUCAAUACUAUUAUACUAUUGUAGAUGCUAUUUAAUUAAUUAGUUAUAAUCAAUAGUAUUCUAGAUGCUAAAGUCCUGUUUACCAAGUAUUUUUUAACCAACACAAUUGCAGAUCCUCUUAUAAUUACAGUCUAUGAUUUGUUGGAAUUAGGAAUCGACGAUCACUUCAAGAUUUGGAAAUGUUAUACCCGCUCCAAUCUCCAAACGGAUACAAGCCGUCCCGAAUGAGGACUAGAGAUCUCUGCGGAGAUUCGAGAAAUUUGUCUUUUCUAAAAAAAAUUAUAUUAUAAUAUAUGAUCUUUGAUUAAAAUUAUUUUAGUAAGUUGUCAUAAUAUACAAUGUUUUUAGUUAUAUUUUGAGUACCAAUUCGAAUAAUACUCAUUUAUAAUAAAAAUAAAAGAGUAGAUUUAAUAUAAUUUGUUUGUAUUAUAAUAUGAAAUGAUUUAAUCAAUGUGAUGAAAGAGAUUAUUUAAAUUUUCAUAUAUAUAUAUAUAUAUAUAUAUAUAUAUAUAUAUUUAUCAUUAAUAUUUUGUAUAAUAUAAUAUACAUAAAUAUAUUCAUAUUAUAUAUGAAAAUCGGGAAAUUUCAAGACGGUUCGCGACCAGAAAAUAUUAAUUUUUGAAUCCGUCCCGAUCUCCGAAUUCUGGUAUAUAAUUUUUUUCCAAUCUCUAUCCCGUACUCGAGAGAAUCUCUUAUUUAUGAUUUCGUGCCGAACGGCCCGAACCUGAUAAACGAAAAAAUAGGUGGUCUUUUCUGGAAUCGAGCGGGACAGACUGGAUCGGGUCGGUCAGAUGGGACAGGGACACGUCCUCAGUUGACAUCAGGCUUAAAACUAGGGGUGUAAACAAACCAAACUGUUGGUGAGCUACUCGAGCUCGGCUCGUAAAAUAUUCGGAUUUGAUUCGGUAGUAAUCAAGCCGAGCUCGAGAUCGAGCUAUUUGGAUGUUUUACCGAGCUGAGCUCGAGCUUCAAAUUACUCGGCUCCUAAGGUUCGCGAGCCUUAUCGAGCCUCUACUAUUAUUUAAUCUUUUUUAUUAUAAAUAUAUUUUUACAAAUAUAUUUAAUAUUUUAUUUAUAAAUCAUAUAUUUAAUCGAAUCGAACUCGAGCCAAACCGAUCAUAUUUCGAGUUUUUGUCAAUAUUUAGUGUCUCGAUUCGAGAUUCCGAGCUGAACUCGAGCCUAUCAAACUGUUUACGAGCCGAGUUUCGAACUUGAAAUUAAAGCCUCGGUCGAACUCGAACUCGAGCUCGAGCCCCGAACUUUUCAAUUGAGUUCGAGCCGAGCCUGACAGUGUUCUACUUGUCUCGGCUUGAUUACACCCCUACUCAGAACUCAGAAGAAAGCCAGUAUAAUAUGAUCGCCCACCACGUUUUUUUUCCCUGUCAUCAAUUGCUAGAGCUCAGUGCACCUGAAGCUCAACCAUAUAUGACCAUAUCAUAUUAAUGACUGUUGCAAUCAACCAUUUGUGAUCUUUGUCUGUACAGGGACAGCACUUGGAAAUAAUAAAUCCUCUUUUUCUUUUCUUUGUUUUCCUUCUUUUCCAAAUCAUAUAAAUCGUUUUUAUUAUCACUAACACAAUCAAAACAGACUGCUGCAAUAUCACAAUGUAAUAGUUGAACACCAGUAGCAAUAGCAACUACAAUUGUGUUAAAUUGAAGUAGGCCGAGGUCCUUACAUUCCCUAUAGGCAGACUAUUUCCGCCAACAUAAAAAGUCAAACUUAAUCAGAGAGAUCCAGAAUUCAAAUUUUAUUUUGUCGUAUCAGUAACAACUAGGGAGGUGUUUGGUUCAUGGUUAAUGAGCCCGGUUAACGGGAAUCGGAACCUAAGAGGGAGCAUCCAUGGAUAUGUGACAGAUGAAGAAGUGCGCGGAACUUUUGCUGUAUGGCAUAAUACACCUGGUUUCACUCCCAAAAAUCAUCCUACUAUUAUUCAGGUUCAUUCUUAGUCUGUUUUCUAAUUAAUAAUUUGAAUUUUAAAUUUGUACAGAAUCAUCUAAUAACUGAGCUAGAAUUUUUCAAUUAAAGACAGGAAAAAAGAAUAAUCGGAUUUACUAGGCUACAACGAAUCUAGCUUUUCUGAGUAGUUUCCUGAAGGCUAUCAAAUUAUUGAACUUGAAUCUCUUAUCUUUCAUAGUUAUUGUUAUUAGUACUUACUCCGUGCUGAAUAAACCUGUAGCAAAGUUUGAUCCCAACCCCGAUCCGUAGUAAAUCAGAAUAUAUUGCUUCAAUAUGGAAAACAGGAUGAGUAAUAGAUACUAGCAUAUUUAUAACUAUAAAAAUUAGUACCAAUUAUAGAACUAAUGAUGAGGAUCUUGCAGAUAAUCAUGGAGAGCGCCACUGAAAAGGAUGAGUCCGGUAACAGAAUGCCCAAUCUUGUGUAUGUGUCCAGAGAAAAGAAGAAGACUACACCCCACAACUACAAGGCUGGUGCGCUCAACGUUCUGGUAAUAAUGUUUAUAAUUGUGUUGAUCAUACACAUAUAUAGGUAAACAGAAAGUUAAUUUUCAUUUCUUGUUUAUUUCACAUAUUUAACAUAUUAAUGCAUAAUAAAGCUUCGAGUAUCAGCAACCAUGACAAAUGCACCGCUGGUGUUGACGCAAGACUGUGACAUGUUUUCAAAUGAUCCUAAGACACCACUCCGUGCACUCUGCUACUUUAUGGACCCUGGAAUGGACCCGAACUUGGCGUUGGUCCAGUUCCCUCAAAUUUUCCAUGGGAUUAACAAGGAUGAUAUAUAUAAUGCUGAACUUAAAGAAAUGCUUGUCAAUAAUAAUUUGGGAAUGGAUGGUUUAUUAGGACCACCUUAUAUAGGUUCUGGGGGGUUUUUUCGUCGACAAGCUUUGUUUGGAACUCCAGUAUCACAUAUACCUCCCCAGCCUUCAGAAAUUAGUCCUCAUCAUGUUGUUAACAAGUCAAUGCAGUCCGCAGAGAUUUUGGCUCUGGCACACCAUGUUGGAGGCUGUAACUUUGAGGUUCAAACCGAGUGGGGAUCAGAGGUCAGACACUUUGGUACAUUUAUUAAUAAAAUUCACAUAUUACUUCGAACCAAAAUAUUAAAUAUUUAUUCUCUAAUUGUCGCAGAUGGGAUUUAGGUAUGGCUCUUUAGUGGAGGAUUUUAACACAGGCUACAGAAUGCAAUGCCAAGGAUGGAGAUCUGUUCUCUGCAAUCCAAUAAGACCAGCAUUCUUAGGAAGUUCACCAAUAACACUCCAUGACAUGCUCAAUCAAUGCAAAAGGUGGUCCAUGGGUCUUCUUGAUAUCACUUUUUCCAGAUAUAACCCUCUUUUCUUUGGUGUGCGGUUCAUGAACCCUCUCCAAGCCUUCUGCUUUGGACACUAUGCGAUUUGGCCCAUUUGGUCGAUUCCUCUUAUUAUCUAUUCCUUCUUGCCUCAGCUCGCUCUAAUCAAUUCUUCACAUGCUAUUUUCCCAAAGGUAAGCUAAAAACUGCACUACUACAGGGUCGAUCAAGUUCAAAUUUUGUAACGUGAAGAGUUGGUACACAGUAUAAAUAGGUAUUCAUAGUAGUUUAAUUAUUUUUGCUCUAAUUAUGAUGUCAGGUGACAGAUCCUUGGCUGUUUUUCUUGUAUGUGUUUCUUUUCCUUGGUUCAUAUGUGCAACAUCUUCUCGAAUAUGUUACAUUUGGAUCUCCAGCCAAAAGGUGGUGGAACAGUCAGAGAGUGUGGAUGAUGAGAGCACUUUCAAGCUUUCCAUUUGCAUUGAUUGAAUAUAUACUAGAAUGCUGGGGAGUAUCAUCGUUUGGGUUCAAUGUGACUAGCAAGGUACUUGAUAGUGAACAAAGCAAACGUAACGCAGAAUGUAUGUUUGAAUUCGGAGUGCCUUCUCCACUUUUUGUUCCAAUAAAUAUGGCGGCAAUGAUCAACUUGUGGGCGUUUUUACAUGGGAUAAAACAAGUGAUUAAGAGGAAUGAAAGCUUUGAAGAUAUAUUUGUGCAGAUGUUUUUAGCUGGCUUUGGAGUGCUUAAUUGCUGGCCCAUCUAUGAAGCCAUGUUAUUGAGAAGGGAUAAAGGAAGGAUGCCAUUAAAGAUAACUUUAUUAUCAACCUUCCUAGCAUGGCUUGUUUAUCUGAUAUCCUCUUCAGCCUUUUGAAAACUAGUAUUGUUUU